This 89-nucleotide ribosomal RNA is filed under the name Prolemur simus (greater bamboo lemur). The record is from RNAcentral. Lineage: Eukaryota; Metazoa; Chordata; Mammalia; Primates; Lemuridae.
AAUGCCUGGUCAGUGCCUGAUCUCAUCUGAUCUUGGAAGCUAAGCACGGUCAGGCCUGAUUAGUACUUGGAUGGAAGGAAUGCCUGGUC